UUGACCUCGGAUCAGGUAGGACUACCCGCUGAACUUAAGCAUAUCAAUAAGCGGAGGAAAAGAAACCAACAGGGAUUGCCCCAGUAACGGCGAGUGAAGCGGCAACAGCUCAAAUUUGAAAUCUGGCCCUCG
Molecule: ribosomal RNA, 132 nt
Filed under: Ophiostoma karelicum
Lineage: Eukaryota; Fungi; Ascomycota; Sordariomycetes; Ophiostomatales; Ophiostomataceae
Description: partial 28S ribosomal RNA
Rfam family: Eukaryotic large subunit ribosomal RNA
Source: RNAcentral